Small nuclear RNA from Choloepus hoffmanni (Hoffmann's two-fingered sloth), 107 nucleotides. The record is from Ensembl. Lineage: Eukaryota; Metazoa; Chordata; Mammalia; Pilosa; Megalonychidae.
GUGCUCUCUUUGGCAGCACAUGGAGUAAAAUCAGAAUAAUGCAGAUAAAAUUAGCAUGGCCUAUGCCUAAAGACGACUUGCAAAUUUCUGAAGCAUUCCAUAUUUUU